UACGUAGGGGGCAAGCGUUGUCCGGAAUCAUUGGGCGUAAAGAGCGUGUAGGCGGUUCGAUAAGUCUGCUGUGAAAGUCCAGGGCUCAACCCUGGGAUGCCGGUGGAUACUGCCGGGCUAGAGUACGGAAGAGGCGAGUGGAAUUCCCGGUGUAGCGGUGAAAUGCGCAGAUAUCGGGAGGAACACCUAUUGCGAAGGCAGCUCGCUGGGACGUCACUGACGCUGAGACGCGAAAGCGUGGGGAGCAAACAGG
This 253-nucleotide ribosomal RNA is filed under the name uncultured bacterium. Its description in RNAcentral is "partial 16S ribosomal RNA". It matches the Rfam family "Bacterial small subunit ribosomal RNA", at positions 524 to 776 of the family's 1533-position model. The record is from RNAcentral.